GGCGCGAAAGCGUGGGGAGCAAACAGGAUUAAAUACCCUGGUAGUCCACGCCGUAAACGAUGAGUGCUAAGUGUUAGAGGGUUUCCGCCCUUUAGUGCUGCAGCUAACGCAUUAAGCACUCCGCCUGGGGAGUACGGUCGCAAGACUGAAACUCAAAGGAAUUGACGGGGGCCCGCACAAGCGGGGGAGCAUGUGGUUUAAUUCGAAGCAACGCGAAGAACCUUACCAGGUCUUGAAUCCUCUGACAACUCUAGAGAUAGAGCGUUCCCCUUCGGGGGACAGAGUGACAGGUGGUGCAUGGUUGUCGUCAGCUCGUGUCGUGAGAUGUUGGGUUAAGUCCCGCAACGAGCGCAACCCUUGAUCUUAGUUGCCAGCAUUUAGUUGGGCACUCUAAGGUGACUGCCGGUGACAAACCGGAGGAAGGUGGGGAUGACGUCAAAUCAUCAUGCCCCUUAUGACCUGGGCUACACACGUGCUACAAUGGAUGGUACAAAGGGCUGCAAGACCGCGAGGUCAAGCCAAUCCCAUAAAACCAUUCUCAGUUCGGAUUGUAGGCUGCAACUCGCCUACAUGAAGCUGGAAUCGCUAGUAAUCGCGGAUUCCAGCAGCCGCGGUAAUACGUUCCCGGGCCUUGUACACACCGCCCGUCACACCACGAGAGUUUGUAACACCCGAAG
Molecule: ribosomal RNA, 677 nt
Filed under: Bacillus sp. AQGSSB14
Lineage: Bacteria; Bacillati; Bacillota; Bacilli; Caryophanales; Bacillaceae
Description: bacterial SSU rRNA
Rfam family: Bacterial small subunit ribosomal RNA
Source: RNAcentral